UUCCCGGCCUUGUACACACCGCCCGUCACACCACGAAAGUCGGCAAUACCCGAAGCCGGUGGCCUAACCCGCAAGGGAGGGAGCCGUCGAAGGUAGGGUCGAUGAUUGGGGUG
Molecule: ribosomal RNA, 113 nt
Filed under: uncultured bacterium
Lineage: Bacteria
Description: partial 16S ribosomal RNA
Rfam family: Bacterial small subunit ribosomal RNA
Source: RNAcentral